AACAAAGCGAUAAUGAAAAAGAGUAGUAUUAUCGAUUGCCAAAGAGAGCUAGCGGUGGUGGGAGCUAGUGCAUGACAUAAUAUGAAUGGGCUUUCUAGCUUCUAGUUUCGAAAAUUUACAGUAGAUUCUAGCGUAUUUGUUGCGUUACAACAGUUAGAGUGGACUAGAUUAACCAUUUGAUCUGGUCAAUGAAGGUGGCACCACGGCUUUUUUCGUCCUUUGU
This 223-nucleotide non-coding RNA is filed under the name Ureibacillus massiliensis. RNAcentral describes it as "Lysinibacillus massiliensis T-box sequence". It matches the Rfam family "T-box leader". From Rfam's summary of the family: Uncharged tRNA acts as the effector for transcription antitermination of genes in the T-box leader family. Lineage: Bacteria; Bacillati; Bacillota; Bacilli; Caryophanales; Caryophanaceae. The record is from RNAcentral.